RNA transcript from Oncorhynchus keta (chum salmon), 2320 nucleotides. It is a transcript of the gene named selenoprotein Pa-like, with no coding region annotated. The record is from RefSeq and is a predicted model, not a curated record. The transcript has 5 exons. NCBI's taxonomy places the organism in Eukaryota, Metazoa, Chordata, Actinopteri, Salmoniformes, Salmonidae.
UCUGCACAGAACCCCAUCAUGAACUUUGUCUUCCUUUCAGGAAAAUAACAGUGUGAGUAUAAAAGGGGGGAGCAGAGGGAGUUGUUGUUGUUCCAAAAGCUACUGCUAGACAGAGCUGAGCUGACUAAGGAGGGACAUUUUAACAGGUCUCUCUCUUCUACUCACACACACUCAGCAGAUCAAGCCUGCUGCAAGGCACCGUGAUGAAGGCGGGGCUCAGCCUGCUCCUGGCUCUCUGCCUGCUCCCUGGGGGCGGAGCAGAGAGUGAGGGGGAGGGGACCCGCUGUAAGCCACCACCUGGUUGGAGCAUUGGGGAGGUGGAGCCAAUGAAGGGGGUUAUGGGCCAGGUCACGGUGGUGGCCCUCCUCCAGGCCAGCUGAUCGUUCUGCUUGGUGCAGGCAUCCUUAUUGGAUGAGCUGCGCCUGAAGCUGGAGGGCCAGGGUCUGGACAAUGUGACCUAUAUGGUGGUGAACCACCAGGGGGAGCAGGCCCAGCACCUUCACACCUUGCUGAGCCAGAAACUGUCUGAGAACAUCAUAUUGUACAAACAGGUACCCAAACAGGAUGACGUGUGGCAGGCCCUGGCUGGAAAGAAGGAUGACGUCCUCAUCUAUGACAGGUGUGGUCGUCUGACCCACCAUAUCUUCCUCCCCUUUUCCAUCCUGGGUACUCCCUACGUAGAGAACGCCAUUAAGGAGACCUACUGCCAAAGCAUCUGUGGGGACUGCACGUAUGAGAACACAGAGAUCCCAGCAGAGUGCAACAGGAUGGUAGAGGUAAAGCCUGAGGGAGAAGAGAAGCCAGUCACUGGAGGGGAUACACCUCACGGUGGACGCGGUCAUAAUCACCAUGGCAAUGGGCACGGUCACCAUGGCAAAAGCCAUGGUCACGGUCACCAUGGCGAGAGUGACGUGGGGCGCGAACACGGUCGUGGCCAUGGGGUGGAGCAGCAGCAGCACCAAAAUGGCGCUGAGGGGCUCCACCAUGGCCAGGCCCAUGGCCAAUUGCACGUUGGUCAGGAGCAUAUGGGUCAGCAGCCCAAGGAGGCGCAGGAAGGGCAUAUUAUGCAGAAGCCCUGAGUGAAGGGGAGGGCCAGGUGAAAGGCAGAGCUCAGCUGACAUUUGAAGGAGGGGUCUGAUAUAAGUCCCUCCUCCAAGGUCAGCUGAUGCUGACACUGACGGGGGCUGUUUGGCAAUGGGGUACGCAACGAGCCAAUCGGGCUCUGACACUGUGAUGAGGCGCUGCCCGCCUCCUGACAGUGACAGGGACUGAUGGGCGACUCCAACAAUCACAUCAGGGAGACCUGACAGUGACGCUUGCCCCCCGCUGACUGACAGCAGCCUCUGCCAGUGAUGUCAGCCUGAUCCCCGGGUGUUGAAACCUGAAGCUGAGAGCAGCUGUAAGCAGGGCCAUGGCUCUGUGAAAGUUAUCUUGCUUAUAGGCCUCAUAUUAACAUCUGUGAGACCAACACCGGGGCAAAGCGCUCAUACCAUCUUACCAACUAGUAUUGCUCCGGUACUGUAAAGCCACACUUGAUAGAGAGGGAUGGAGGAAUAUACAUUGGGUCUGGUAGAAGAAUGCUAAGCCUAAACCUAUUACGAUAUGGGGAAUAGGAUGGUGUUUGAGAUGUACCCAAAGGGAUAGUAUGAUAUCAAGGAAGGUAGCCUCCACCCUCUCUCUCUCUGUCGGUGCAUUGGUGUCACCCUCCCGGGAGUGUAUGGGGUGACUAUGUUGAUGUUUCUCCCCCUCCGUUUUGCUCCCUCCAUCCAAAAUGAAGGUAGGCACAGAAACUACGCUGUAGUGGUGUCUGUCUGAUGUCCGGCUGGGGGGAGGGGAGGGUGAGGGCCAUACAAUAUGACCACCCCCUUAAUUCAAAGUUCACAAUAUUGAGAGCUUUAGAAGGAGUAUGAAGGAGUAGCGGCCAAUGUUGAAAUAAACUGAAAUCAUGGCCAGAAAUGCAAGAUUUGAACCAAAGUUAGACAUUGUUAUAUUCAGGGUUAGUUAGACAUUGUUAUAUUCAGGGUUAGUUAGACAUUGUUAUAUUCAGGGUUAGUUAGACAUUGUUAUAUUCAGGGUUAGUUAGACAUUGUUAUAUUCAGGGUUAGUUAGACAUUGUUAUAUUCAGUGUUAACAAAACAAAUUUGAAUAAAAUACAUUAUUAAUAUAGUAAGAUUUUUCUAUUAUGACCCCAUCAACCUUUUCAACUUUUUCUUCAACUAAAAAUCUAAUGUCACCCCUUUCAAGCAACAACAUUUAUUUGUACCUUUGAAUUAACGCUGUGUUUAUUAAAGCAGUAGUGUGUUUUGUAGACAAAAUUCAA